AGAGUUUGAUCCUGGCUCAGGAUGAACGCUGGCGGCGUGCUUAACACAUGCAAGUCGAACGAUUAAAGCCCCUUCGGGGGUGUAUAGAGUGGCGAACGGGUGAGUAACACGUGGGCAAUCUGCCCCUCACUUCGGGAUAACUCAGAGAAAUUUGAGCUAAUACCGAAUACUCCGGUCGGACCGCAUGGUCUGAUCGGGAAAGCUCCGACGGUGAGGGAUGAGCCCGCGGCCCAUUAGCUAGUUGGUGGGGUAAAGGCCUACCAAGGCGACGAUGGUUAGCUGGUCUGAGAGGAUGAUCAGCCACACUGGAACUGAGACACGGUCCAGACUCCUACGGGAGGCAGCAGUGGGGAAUUUUGCGCGAUGGGGGAAACCCUGACGCAGCAACGCCGCGUGAGUGAUGAAGGCCCUUGGGUCGUAAAGCUCUGACAGAGGGAAAGAAGUGUAUGGCGGUUAAUACCCGUUGUACUUGACGGUACCCUCAAAGGAAGCACCGGCUAACUCCGUGCCAGCAGCCGCGGUAAUACGGAGGGUGCAAGCGUUGUUCGGAUUUAUUGGGCGUAAAGCGCGUGUAGGCGGUUUUUUAAGUCUGAUGUGAAAGCCCCGGGCUCAACCUGGGAAGUGCAUUGGAUACUGGAAGACUUGAAUACGGGAGAGGGAAGUGGAAUUCCUGGUGUAGGAGUGAAAUCCGUAGAUAUCAGGAGGAACACCGGUGGCGAAGGCGGCUUCCUGGACCGAUAUUGACGCUGAGACGCGAAAGCGUGGGUAGCAAACAGGAUUAGAUACCCUGGUAGUCCACG
Molecule: ribosomal RNA, 800 nt
Filed under: uncultured Desulfuromonadales bacterium
Lineage: Bacteria; Pseudomonadati; Thermodesulfobacteriota; Desulfuromonadia; Desulfuromonadales
Description: bacterial SSU rRNA
Rfam family: Bacterial small subunit ribosomal RNA
Source: RNAcentral